UACGAAGGGGGCUAGCGUUGCUCGGAAUCACUGGGCGUAAAGCGCACGUAGGCGGACUUUUAAGUCGGAGGUGAAAUCCUGGAGCUCAACUCCAGAACUGCCUUCGAUACUGAGAGUCUUCGAGUUCGGGAGAGGUGAGUGGAACUGCGAGUGUAGAGGUGAAAUUCGUAGAUAUUCGCAAGAACACCAGUGGCGAAGGCGGCUCACUGGCCCGAUACUGACGCUGAGGUGCGAAAGCGUGGGGAGCAAACGGG
RNAcentral lists this ribosomal RNA (254 nucleotides) under uncultured bacterium. Its description in RNAcentral is "partial 16S ribosomal RNA". It matches the Rfam family "Bacterial small subunit ribosomal RNA", at positions 524 to 776 of the family's 1533-position model. The record is from RNAcentral.